UACGGAGGAUCCUAGUGUUAUCCGGAUUUAUUGGGUUUAAAGGGAGCGUAGGCGGGAGGUCAAGUCAGCUGUGAAAUGUAUCUGCUUAACGGGUACACUGCAGUUGAAACUGGUUUUCUUGAGUGCGUAAGAGGCAGGCGGAAUUCGUUGUGUAGCGGUGAAAUGCUUAGAUAUGACGAGGAACUCCUAUUGCGCAGGCAGCUUACUAAACCACUACUGACGCUCAGGCACGAAGGCGUGGGGAUCAAACAGGAUUAGAUACCCGU
RNAcentral lists this ribosomal RNA (266 nucleotides) under uncultured prokaryote. Its description in RNAcentral is "partial 16S ribosomal RNA". It matches the Rfam family "Bacterial small subunit ribosomal RNA", at positions 524 to 789 of the family's 1533-position model. The record is from RNAcentral.